GAGUUUGAUCCUGGCUCAGGAUGAACGCUGGCGGCGUGCUUAACACAUGCAAGUCGAACGGGAAUUACUUUAUUGAAACUUCGGUCGAUUUAAUUUAAUUCUAGUGGCGGACGGGUGAGUAACGCGUGGGUAACCUGCCUUGUACAGGGGGAUAACAGUCAGAAAUGACUGCUAAUACCGCAUAAGCGCACAGGACCGCAUGGUCCGGUGUGAAAAACUCCGGUGGUAUAAGAUGGACCCGCGUUGGAUUAGCUAGUUGGUGAGGUAACGGCCCACCAAGGCGACGAUCCAUAGCCGGCCUGAGAGGGUGAACGGCCACAUUGGGACUGAGACACGGCCCAGACUCCUACGGGAGGCAGCAGUGGGGAAUAUUGCACAAUGGGGGAAACCCUGAUGCAGCGACGCCGCGUGGAGGAAGAAGGUCUUCGGAUUGUAAACUCCUGUUGUUGGGGAAGAUAAUGACGGUACCCAACAAGGAAGUGACGGCUAACUACGUGCCAGCAGCCGCGGUAAUAC
This 516-nucleotide ribosomal RNA is filed under the name uncultured bacterium. Its description in RNAcentral is "bacterial SSU rRNA". It matches the Rfam family "Bacterial small subunit ribosomal RNA", at positions 9 to 526 of the family's 1533-position model. The record is from RNAcentral.